This is a long non-coding RNA of Rhea pennata, 13373 nucleotides long. RefSeq lists it as uncharacterized. The record is from RefSeq and is a predicted model, not a curated record. The transcript is spliced from 2 exons. Lineage: Eukaryota; Metazoa; Chordata; Aves; Rheiformes; Rheidae.
GCGGCUGCGCGCGGGCCGGGCCGGGGCGCCGGCGCCGGCUCGUCACGCCACUACCAGCUCCUGCUAUGCCAGAUGCCAUUACUGAAUUGCAGUCCUGCUUCUCAAGCAACCAAGAACUUGCACCUCUUGCUGACACCCAGCAGGACAGAAGCAGGCUGGGUACCGUUUGAAAAGAGUUCACAUCAGAGUCUGUCAAAAGAACAACACAAAGCAAAGGAGAAGUCUUUCUGCGCUUGCCUUUGCUUUGGAGAGAGAAGAGCAAGGGCCCAGCACUGAACAGAAGGUUGGCUUUGCCUGUCACACUGCAGGGCAGAGAAAUUGCUUCCCCCGCACACUCGCAGACUGGGUGAGGUUGGAAGGGGACUCUGCAGAUCAUCUAGUCCAACCUCCCUGCUCAGCCAAGACAACCUAGAGCAUGGUAGACAGGAUCGCAUGCGGGUGGGUUUUGAGUUAUCUCCAGAGACGGAGACUCCGCAACCUCUCUGGGCAACCUGUUCGAGUGUGCUGAAAAAUCAGACUCCCUGACUGGGAAUUCAACCUGGACCAUGGUGCUGAGAGCACCAGAUCCUAACCACUAGAGCACCAGGGAGCUUUGUUCUUUCCCCUUUGCACACUGCACAUGGACCUAAUACCCUUCCAGACCAGUGGGCUUUAAAACCUCUCACCGCUGCCAGAAGAUCCCCCCCUCCCCUCUGCCCAGACCACAGGGAGCCUCCUUCUACAAGGCAGCAGGAGUCAAGAGCCCCAGUAGCAGCAGGACCUGAACUCGAGGCCCCCGUCUCAACACACUCCUGCUUGCAGCCUCCACUGGGGAAAAGGACACAGUCCGCCUUCUGGCCCUUGGCCGGGCUGCCGGGGCAGGCUGAAGGAGCAGCCGGCAAGCCAAACGAAGGCAGCAGAGGAGAGCUCUCCCUUGCUCCAACGGCCUCUCUUCCCGCAGCCCUGCACGUACCUGAUUCUAGGCCACAUCAAGGCGAGAGAGGGCGAGGGAGGGAGGGAGAAGGGCUAACCGCCUGCCCAGACUAAGCCUUCAAAACCACAACUUUCAUCGUGCGUUCUGGUUAGGGCUGAGCAACGCCAGUCCUGGGACAAAACACAGCUGUUCCCCUACAAUGCAGCAACAGGCCAGACUCCCACCAGCUUUGCCCCUCCGGCACCAAGCCGGCAGGUACUGUUCUGGAAGAGACAAGCGGCGGGAGUAAGAGGGUACAGUCAUAUGGGCAGGGCUGCCUAGGGCAGGAAGGGGAAUGGAAGAAAACAGACACACGUACUGCAUUACAACAUUUAGUAAAUACAAAGCUGGGACAGAACACGUUCAGUUCAACACAGCAUGUUGUUAUGGACACACCACGCCAUUAAGAGGCACAAGGCAUGUUUCCCCAGGCUUCCUUCGUCUCAUCUAUCCACACUCAGCCUUCUGCAAAGGUGAAUUCCUGUGCACCAGCAUCUUCCAGUCAGCUGAUGACGACUGCUGCAGGCGUGAAAUGACGAAGGCAGCUGUUCCCGAGCGGCGGCUCCCCAGCAUCUUUUGUCAAAUCAGGUCACAUCCUUUUGGGUCAAAACAUCGCAGUGCUCAUGGGUUGCCCUCGAAAGCGGCUCCUGCUCUACGUUCUCGGAAGAGCCUUCAGAAGAUGCCCAGGCAGCACCUCCCACCGAUGCAGUUUUCACUUCAGCCACUGCUGAGGAGGCCAGGCGGGGCAGGGGGAAGAAAAUGCCCUCGUUAGUGUUACAGGAGGAAAAGGCAACAAGUCCCCAAACCAAACAAACCAGAUCAGCCCCAGCAGACAGGCACCUCCAUUCACAACACAAGCGGAUUCCACGCAACGGACUUGCGUCCGUCCAAGCAAAUGCAAAGACCUAUAAAGCAGCAGCCGGCCACUCGCUAGGAGCUUAAGGAGCUCUGGAACAGAAGGAAUUGCUCUCAGGGGCUACCCGCUUGGAAACAGGCCCAGGCACUGCAAAGCCGUGACUCUGCGGGAACGAUUUUCAUGAAGAGCUGGCAUUACACAGGGCUCUGGGGGUCUGUGGGUACGCGCCCGUACCUUGUUCUUCCCUCUCCCUCUUGUGUAAGGCAGCUGCAUUAUAUUCCGUACCACUAUUAUUCGGAUAAGCAGGAAGUUUGCACAUCAAGCGCCUUGUUGGAAAGCUACUAGAAAACAACUGUGCUUAGCACAGCAGCUUGACAGCUUUCAAGUGGUUGUGUUCAAAAGCUAGGGACCGUCAUCUUCCUUCAUUACACUGCUAGCGUAUCCCCACAAAGUACCUUGCUCGAGCUCUUCAGCGAUAGCUUUGACCACUCCCGCCGCACCUGGAAGCAUAGACAGGAUUCCCUCAAGACCUCACAGUUACCCGCUUGCAGGACUAGCUUCUACAGCCUUUGGAAACCCAGCUGUAACGUGGAAUAACAACUGGAAACACCAUCCCCCACGCUGAGAAAUACUUUGUCCACCACAACGCAGCAUUCUCAUUACUGCGUGGCAUUAACUGCAGCACAAAGCAGCCUGCAGUUCAGCCGUUUUCUCACAUUCUGCUUUUUAAAGAGGACAGCAAAAAGCACAAAGACUUCACAGCAGCGGAGGCCUAGAGGGCUAUCCACAAGGGCACAAGCAGCACGGUUACACCGUUACAUAAGGCUUGUGAGGGUUCAUCACGAUGCAGGCCGAGACCCCUAGAAGCGACUGUCCAAACCGAGAGCGUACAGCUUCCGGGCUUAGGCAAAGAGCAAACAGCGCAAGCUGAACCCCUGUGGGCAUCACCACUAAUUCUGGCACACACACAGGCUCACCCACCAACACACCCACCCAGAGAAGAACCAAAACGCUGCCGAAUUUAAUUUAACGGCUCUUUUUCAGCCAGCACUGCUGGCUUACUAUUUAGCCACCGGGCUGGCCCAAGGACGGUCAUCUGGAUCACCCUGUGAGACUCCACAAGACAACGCUCACAGCUUAGCAACUCAACUCGACAACAUUACCGGCACGGGUACAGGCACAGGUACAGUACCCAGGCACGUCACUGAAACAGGAUCCUUGCUAUGCGUGGGGCACCACAGCACCCAGUUAGAAUCAGAGGUGCCCGUACACUUCUCACGGAUAGAACAGACGGAAGAGGCGACCUUGCCCAGGCCUCCACUCAGUGCAAAGGGGGCAACGGAUCACUGAAGAUGCACUUACAGUGCCUUACCUCAGCCAUAUGAGCUUCCACUCGCUCUUCCACAGAGGAAGCAUUGCCCACUGGGUUCAUCAGCAGAGAGUGGCUUCUGCAGCGCUCAUGAGCAGGUGCGGCAACGGCUUCCACAAACCUCUCACUAGCUCUGGCUCGAUGCAGGCGUUUUGUGAGGGCCAGUUCCCAUUCUAAAUCGCUAACUCUCCGCUGCAGUCGGCCUACCGUGGAAGCUUCAGUAGCGGCUCUGAUCUGAUCCACUCGCUCCUGGGUGGCUGCCUGUGUCUGAAGCAGAUCACGCAAUUUCAACCCCCAGGAAAGAAAAAGAGAACGCCCACCCCUAGUCAGCUUCACACACCCAAUUUCAAGAGCACAACCUUACUCAGCGAGGCAACAGUGCCUCCUCACUGCCCUCAACAAUCAGGGCUCAAACUCUAAGGCACCAACUUUUAGAGUUUUCAAUCAAAGCUCGGACUAAGCAACCUCUGUCUCGGCAAGACACUACUCUCCUUGCAAUUCUUCUCUUGGUGCUGUUACCUGAUUCCCCAGUGACCCGUGUGUGCAAAGAAGAGUAUUCAUAGACUCUCAGGGGGGUUCAGGAGAACCAUUCAACAAGCUCACAGCCUUCAACAGCCUCCUGAAGACAGAAGGAGCCCUUGACUCCACAGCCCUGACCGGCAGAAGCAGGAAGUACUGAGAAAUGACCACAGUAAGGAAGAGAGGAAUGACAAGGCACAGAUGCACUGCACAUACUAGAGGGAAGGAAGCUUACGCGCAGAAAGAGAUUGACUUCCUCCAGUUUUUGCCUUAGCUCUUGCUCUGCUCUUUCUUCAAUCUCCCUUCUAUAGUCUUCACCGUGCCUGGGAUCCAUCUUCUUGGCCUCUAAAUGACGCCUGAGGGCAACCACCUCUUCUUCCAGCAGCCGCUUGCUCUUCCGCAGACUUUCGCGGCUCCCGUGCAUCCAGGCCAAUUCUUCUCGCAAACCUUCAUUUGCUUUCUCUAGCUGCCUCGAUCUUCUCCGCUCUCUCGCCAGCCAGUUGGAAAGUUCGUGGACCUGUACACAGGGGAAGGACAGGCUCACUUAACCAGAGGCAUGUUACAUGCCUGCCACACACUCAGGACAGAACCCACAAGAAACACAUCCUCUUCUGCCCAUGACACUGAAUGCCCAUGACAGCUGUGCUCCAGAGAGUAGCUUUUCAAGCAGUGCAGGAAGAAGGCAUUUUCUCUUCUAGAUCCAGGGGGCUGUUUCUUUUCAGAAACUCUUAGCAAGCACCAGGACUUCAGGAGGCCCCAAUGGGCAACUCAAACUCUGUCUUCCUUCUUCUCCUUUCUUCUCCUCUCCGCAGAAAUUCACCUUUUCCACACCAGCACCCUGGUAUUGCAACAUUUCUUCACUUACCAAAGGAUUAGGCAGAGGUUUUCAGGGAACAUAUGGAAAAGCCAUUUGUUUCAAGACACAGCCACCAGGUAAUUAACAACACCAGACAAAAUUGGGAAAAAAAAAUCCUACAGGUUUCCAAAAAAAAAAAUAACCCAAAAAAAAAAGACAAACAGAUCAAAGCUCACCUUUGCUCUUAAUCUACCAACUUCAUCGCCCUUUCCAGAACAUGCGCCCUCUGUUUUGCUCUGGAAAUCCAACUGGGACUCACUCUCUCGCCUCUCAUAUGCCCUCAGUUUCUUCAUAGCUGUUUCCAGGAGCCUCUUGGACCUGCAGCAAUUUGUAAAGUAAGUCAGCAAGUAAAAUGGGAAGCCCAAGGACAGUCAGCCUCUGCCUGAAAACACAGGUACAGAGCUUCUUCCUGCCCUGCAACCCUCCCUUCCCACAACAACUGCAGGGCAGCCUGCACUUCCACCUACCUAAGGCCAUACGCUUACGUACAAAGCCACCUGCAAGAUCUAAAGCAAGGCUUGAAGUUGCUUACACUCCUGUGCUCAAAGUCACAGGCUCAGGUAAAGCUUGAACCCAGCCUAGCCGCUACGUCUUGCAAGUACGGAAAUCCUGCACCUACCUGUUGCACUCUUUCUGCAAUUCGAUGUUUCUUUGCAUUUCUUCCUCCAGGCGGGCUUCUGCUGGUUGUUCCCACUCUGCCAGCUUCUUCACGGACUUUCCGUUGCUCUCACACUUCCCAAGCAGAAAGGAGAAAUGGCACACGCGACUCAGUAACGGCCUCUAUACGCACUCGCUGCAGGCAGCGUUCCUCACAAAGCUGCUACAGGACGUCUCCCUCUGCUAGCCAAGGGACGGCCGCGGAACUCCAGGGCACAGAAUUCCCACGUAAAGGGCAGCGCCUCAGCCUUCCCACCACACAGGCCAAUUCCGAGGGACAGAAAGAGUUGCCCGUCAGCCCUCCUCCCGCUCCCCUCCUCCCCCUCAAAAGUGAACGCCACUCGCUAUGAGGGGCUCGCGGGGAGGAAAACACACUGGAAGAAGAAAUUCACAGCAACCGUUGAUGUACCUGCUGAUUUUGGUCUUCCCCCAAAGGCACCCGUCUUGUCCCUAAGCCAGGCAUCAGGUCCUCCAGGCCAUUAUGAACCUACGGAAGCAUUAAAAGAAGUCAAAAAGCCACACGGACUCCUUCCAGGCAGAAGCUGACACCUCACUCAAGGGGUAUGACCAAAAAGAAAUGCCACAGACCUUUCUCCAUCUCCUUACUCCUUUACUAUCUAACCCCAGUUCCAGUCAUCCAGCAGUUCCCCUUCACUGAGGGCUUGUCUCUACCCACCUAGCCCCAGCAUACCAGAAUAAAGCUGCCCAUGGAUGGAGCAGGACAAUAUUACUUGCACCUUGGCUUCUUUGGAGUUCUUUGAGUCACUCCACGGACUUACACCUCUGAGCCAAGGAAUCCAUCGGCACUACACAGGCAAGGGGCUCAGAGGCCGGGAAUGGAAUUCUUGUCACAGCCUGAGCUCGCCAGUUAGGAGGGCUCGGCGACAAAGCGCUCGGCACCAAGGCAAUGCCACAAGCUAACUUGCAGAGUGCCCUGAAGGCAGGAACGUCUGAAGUGCUGCUGCCUGAUGCCUUACACACCACGACGGGGAUAAAGCAGCAAACAUUUAAACCAGCACACGAGUGUCAAACCCGAACCUCAGCCAGUGUUAAGGAAGACUCAGCAGAGUACCCCGUGAAAACUCUCUAAACCAGGAAGCCGGGCAGUGCACCAACAGCAGCCGAUCCUCGGUGGGCUGCAGCAAAUGCUUUCUUUCCCCCAGCCUCCCCAGGAAAAUCCCUUCUGAACAUCCCCCCCCCCCCCCACACACACACACACAUAACUAGGCUCAGUAGCUCAUCAAAAAGGAAGGCCAUGACCAGCUUACAGAGGCUGAGCUGUGCAGCUCUUCCUGAAGAGCUUCCAGGCGAGCAGUCUGUUCCUGGGCUCUGCCUUCCAGGCUGGCCUUUGCCUGUUCAAGCCUUGACAAGAAACACAGGUCUCGUUAACGGGAGCCCACAAGAGCACAAACACUGACACAACAGCGUGAAAUAACGUAAGCUAAAGCAAAAGCCUCUCUCAAAAUCACAUACUGACUGGCUGCCAUGCAGCAAGGUGAUCCUGCUGUUUUUGCACCAUCCCAGAAAGCUUCACUGCGACAGCUCCUUACCGUGCCACUCGCUCUUCCACAUCCUUCCGGCUAAUGGCUCCCGAGGAGCCCGAGGAGGCUUCCGGAAGGUCUUGCAGUUGCCGGCAAGAAGCCAUCGCUUCCCUUUGCUCGUCUUCCAGGGCCCUCUUCAAAUCCUGAGCACAACGCUCGGACUGAACGCGCUGUUCUUCCAACUCCUGCAGCUGUAAAACCCCAACCAGGACCCACGGUAGGCAGCUUGUUCUCAUACAGACAAGUCGACUCCUUCGACUCCCGAGUCGACGCUCCAAAACCCUGGUGCUUCAUCCUCUUGCAUACUGGCCUCUCCCAUCCCCAGCUCAACUUCCUACAAGCGGCCCUAAACACUGCUGCAGCACCAGCCCUACUCUUUCAAUGACCCGUGACGCUCCUGGCCUCCAGCCGGUCGCCCCUCCCAGGGGAAGCAUUACUCGCAACGUUCACCCUUCUCCUGCAGCGACUUCCCAGCUCCAUAAUAACGGCCGUGAGCACAGCAGUCUGAACAGCAAAAUGCACAACACACUCCGGGCAUCUCUAGCUCACCCACUGUCACCUUCAAGUCAGCCUCAAAGCUCAGGCGGCUUGUGACAGGCAACCAACAGCUUUCUUCAGACCUACCCACCAGAGAGCUGCUCCCCACACACUGCUUCGCCCCUCACGCUUGAAACAGGCUCCUUCAAGAGCCCGUUGUGUUUGCCACCGCCUUCAUGCCUUACCACAGCCUAGAAUGACUGACUUCCUCAGACCCCCCAGGCGCUUGGUCACAGAAUACUGCUGGGCCCCUUUUCAUCGGUUACAGGGAAAAACAACAUUCUCCUCACAGCCAUUAAUGUAGUUACAGCCUUUGCCUACCUUGCCUUUAACCCUGACCAGCUCCUUCUGCAGCCGCAGUUUGUCUUCUUCCAGGUCCCUGAGAUAACGCGUGGCAACCGCCAGCAAAGCUUCUGACGUCGACCGCUUUUCAAGAGCGUCGGUAACCUCCUGCUGCACCUGUCCGGCCAUACCCUGAUGAAACGGUUACACGCGCAUGAAGAAAAGGGUACGAACACGGACUAUGCUUUUACUUUCACCAAUCAGAUUACGUAAUUACAUCAGUCUUCAGAGUGAACUCAAAGAUGAGCAGUUUUGCCCACCACCAGUGUGCAUCUGCACAGCUGCUCACUGCUAUCCAUCCUGGCCCACUGAGGGCAGCUGAACUAUCGCUGUCUCUUAAGGAGGGUCGUGGUUUCCUAAUACUUCAUUUAGUAUUGGGACUUUAGUUCCUUGUUUCUCUCCUCCAUCAGCUAAGCUUGCUUUUCAGUGUCAGCUCUGAGUUUAUUGAAAAUAGCUUCAGAUGUGCCCUGACACCCCUCACUACCUUUCCUUUGAUGAUCCUCUUGUUCUGCCUAUCUCCUAGCUGCUGACAGAGGAAAAGGUUUUCACUGUGGAGCAGAGCCAGUCGUUCCUGCAGAGGUUCUUGCCUUAUCGUAUACUUGCUUACCUGAUCUUUCUCAGGCUGGCGAGCACGGUCACAUUCCUUCGCCCGACUUUGCGCUGGACUUGAGUCUUUCGGCACCACUUCUGAAAGCAAUGUUCUUUCUCUAAGCCUCCCUUUCAGUUGGUGAAGUUCACUUUCUAGACUACUAGCCUUGCUCUCAGCUUUGCUCAGCUGCUGAGACAAGCUCUCACUAGCGUCUCGUGCAUCACAGAGGUCACGACGGAGCUUGUCCUGCAAACGAAGCCACUCGUCACGCUCUCUCUGAAACGUUUGCUCAACAUUGCUUUUCGAUGCCUCAUGACGUUCAAGUUCCUCAAGAGCAGAGCUCAGGCGGGAGCGCAGCGAUUCCACCUCUGCCUCCAGUUGAUCUUUGCUUUCUUUUGCCUGCUCCAGUUUGCCAGUCAGCACUGCCGAUUCCGUCUUUACUGAGUUCAGCUGCCCGUUGUACCGACGAACGGUUCGUGUUAAAGCCUCCUCGUUCAGCUUAAGUUCCUUUCGAAGAUCUUCAUUCUUUUCUUUCAAGGUCCCAUUUGACCCUAAAUGUUUUGCUUCUUCCUCCUGGCUCCUGCGCCUUUCUUGAUCAGCCUCGAGUCUUAGUACGGCAAUCUCAUCUCGUACUAAUCGAUGCUUGUACAACAGCUCCUUUUCUCUCGCAUUGCUGCCCGACACCUACGUGAUAAAGAAUACAAAUAAAUAGAGAGUGGGGAAAUGAACCCACAAGAACGCUUGAGCAGCAAACUGCUUUUUAACAUUUGCAAUACUGAAGCAGGACUCAGACAGCAGCUUAGGUAUUACCACAAAUAUCAUUCUCAUCCCUGAGCCUAUGCACCCCUACAAGCAAUGCACACACUGGAAGCAGAACAUGCCCUCAAAACCCUAGUGAAUGCCCCAAGUCUAAAAUGUCUUUUCUCCCCCCGCUAAAUCCGGCAACCCAACAAUAAACUUAAUUUAAAAAGCUUAACAAAAUACUUUUUGCCUUCUUUUUAAAAGUGACAGUGCUAGGUUGCAUAUGCAUGGUAUAUUGUCUAUUACAGGCCUUCAAAAUAUUUCUUUAAAGGUAAAUGUAGGUGUGCUAUGAAGUCUGGGAAAACAGGCCUAGCAAAGGUAUUUUGCUUCUCUGACAUUUAGCUGAACUGCACUAAACAUGAAUGCUGCUUCUCAAACGCCUCCUUCACACUGUAGCCUUCUGUAUCACGACAGGUUAGCUAUACAACCACAACCUACCACCCCGGGGGUGUAGUACUCUGAUUAAUUUCCUUCCUUGUUUAUUAUAUAUGCAACCUUCUUGUGCAUAUAUAAUCUUGUGCUCUCUGGGUACUGUAGCAUAGCACAAAUAAUGCUUUCAAGCACUGGAUCUGCACAAUGCCUUCCGUUAACUCUUUUCAGGAUUUCUUUAAGGAGCAUUCUUAUGAUCCUUUCUCCUCCUCCUCCUCCUCCAAUUAUUUUAAUUCCUAGAGAGAACUUCAUUCACUGGCGAUACUCCUUCAUACCAUUUCCAGUGGUUGAGGUGGAAAAGACACUCCCCUCCCCAAUGCACGUUUUCCUUUCCUUUUCUUUUCAAGUAAUUUUGAUGAGGAUAUAAAGAAAAGCACGCAACAGGAUCAGAUGAUGCUCUGCAACUAAAACUUUCAGACAUACUGCACAACAACUACUUUCCCGGUCAAUCUCAGGAUACCUAGGUACCUGAGCACUGCUAGAAACCUUAAAAUUCAGGAUAGCAGGUCUACACAAUGGAAAAAAAAAACAGCAGACAGCUUAACAAAUUGGGGAAAGAGUGUCUUCCUUUGUGUUGGUUUCCUACUUGCACUUGCGCUUCAGCUACAUACAAGACUGAUGCGGUCUUGUAUGCUGGUCCAGAAUUUUUAGAGACAGAAGGAAAAACAAACAAACAAAAUGGUAUUUCCACAGUCAACUUACUUGACACACCAGAAGUGAUCUGGCAAAAAGCACAGAAGUUAUUGCCAGGAAGAUCUAUCACGAUUUUAGAACAAAUAUGGUGAAAUCAAAAUCACUAGAAAUAAAACUGCCUACCUCUGAAACUUUCACUAGAGUUCUUCUUUCUUCUUCUGGGCCCUUCCGUCUCCAAGCAGGGCUGUUCAAAAUUCCUUCUCGUAGGGCUCUGGCACUCUUCUCUUGAGGAAGCGCUCUCUGUGUUUCAUCACGCUCUUCUUCAGCCUACCAUAACAUAUUUGAACUACUUAAACCUUGAGAAAAAUCAGAGCUAGCAACUCUUUCCCCAUUUUAGAUUUAGUAUUCUUUUGAAAAAAAAACUACUUUGAAUGGCAAUUCGGAAGAUUUCUCUUUUCUUUUUUUUUUUUUCUCUUUUUUUUUUUCUGAACUGGUGUCAGUUUCUGUGGUGGGGGCCAACAGGAACUGCCAGCCCCCUUAGAGCCCUCCAAACACAUCCAUAGAUUAACACCUGGACAAUACUAACGCUCUUCUAUUUCAACACCAGCUUAUGGACUACGUUCCUCUUUUCACUCUCUACAUCAGUCUACAGAGCGAUUUUUCAGUUUGCCUGCACAUUAUUUCCCUGUCCAUCAAAGCCAGGGCUUCCUACUCCCAACCCAUGGCUUUCAUCUUUCGUGCGGGUCUUCCAUUUCACAGAUGUAAAGAAACGAUUUCUGCAAUACAUCUGAAGCACAUUUGGAAUCUGCUACUCUCUGUGGUCUUCCUCCCGCGCUCAUUUGGGAAGCACAGCUUGCUUUACGCUAACACCUUCAUACGUCUUUAACACAGUCACCUGUCCGUCACCCUCAAAGUCUGUCUUUGUGGCAGCAGCCUCGUGUCUUUCACGCUUCCCUCCCUCCUUUGCAGACACCUGCGUGAGCGAGAACACAAACGAGCAGAGAGUGGGGCAAGGUAUCUCCAGGAACCUUCCGCAUCAACCUCCAUUUUAACUGGUGGCAUACCCAGCCAGCACUUGCAUCGUCGCUUAAGCAUUACCUGCAGUUUCACGGCUGCUUCUGCACUCAGGCAGGAUGUCAAGGAAUGCAGGCUCUGCAAGCACAACAGCCCUUUCAGAACCCAAAACACUGCUCGGAGCCUACCCCGACUGACUUUUUUUUGUCCUGGUGAUUACUUGGCUGCACGGUGCCAAAAACACUCCUUUCUUUGCAUACCGGGGCAAAGAAGCGGCAACCCUUCCAGCCACUUGCAGAACCAGAAUCUUCACUCUUUCAACCUUACACUAGAAAUCACACUCAAAGGCCAGUUGCCGUCACCCCUGCGACAUUAGCGCACCCGAGCUAGUCACAGGGCUCACUGAACAGCUUGCACAGAGCAGAAGCUGCUCAAGUUCACAGGAACAAACGGAUGGCGGAAGCAGCCCAAGAGGGAAGUGAGCCUCAUCACUGCUCGGGCCCACGUCCAAAGCGAGAUCCCGAGUGAUUCCCCCCACUGGGACACCACUGCGCCCCUCACUGAAAGCACCUCCGAAUCCCAGGGAGAGUCGCUCUCUUCCUCCUGCUCCACUCCUGCUGCCGAUGUAACACCUACAAAGGAAGCAAGAAAAGACGCACCGUGAGUCCUCCUUUCAUUCUGCUGCUCUCCUGCUUCAACCAAGCCUUGCACCAGAAUGCUUGAACUGGCAAUAGUUCAGCUACAGAGGCAAAACAUACAACUGUCAUGCAAGGGCAUCUUCACUCCCAGCUGCACCACCCUGUUCGCACCACUCCCUCUGCCCUUCUCUGCAGCAGAGGAUGACAAGCCCAGCAUGACCCCUCUCACGGCUACAAUGAACAGCCCCCAACAGGUGGCCACGGAGCAGCCAAACGAGGCUCUGGCAUGUCAGAGUCCGGCAGCAGCCACCUUGGGGACAGCUCCCCUCCUAAACAGGGCACCACACUCGGGCACUCACUAUCACUUUGCACAUCAGGAGAGGAGGAACCCUCAAAGCAUGAGCCAAAACAUCCUCACACGCACAGGAACGCACCAGGACACAAGACUCCUUGCCUAGCACUACCACAAAACAUCGCCCUCACUUGAUGGUCCCUUCCCCCCUGGCACUUGCUGGCAAGGCAACAGUUGGGUGCUGGCCCAUCUCACAAGCAGGUCACCAUUUCCCUUUGCUGACUCUGCACAAUGAGCAGAGAAACAAGGGCGAUCAAUGUUUAUUAACUCACCUCUCACAUCAGCAGGGGCUGCUGCAGUAUGGGCCACUUCAGGACCACCACUAGCCACUACUCCAUCCCUUUCAGGGGAUGCUUCCUAAAUGAGGCCAGACAAAAGAGUUGGAGAGGACAGAAACAAGCAUCCCCGGCACAGGCAGUCAACACCUGCCAAAAUACUUCUCUUCUCUCCACCCGCACACAGAACUCUUCUGACUUCUCUUCUGUGAGGCAGAACCUUAGUCAGACCUCCUCCUCCUCCUACCUCACUUUCACUCUUCACACCACAAGCACAUCUUACUGUCCUGCAGGACCUCUUCACACGCAGCAUCUGCAACACUCUCGCAAAGGUCACUGAGAAAGACGGAACCAGGUUACAAACCAAACACGCCUCCACCUCCUGCAGUACAGGCUGGGUUCCAGCAUCACUCUCGGAGUCCUCAUCACUGCACAGUCCCAAGGCCACACACCGCAACUGGAAAACAAAAACAAUCAAAAAGAAAAUAAAGAGGCGAAACAGGUAGCACAAGAUCACCUGCAAGCCUGGAAUGCCAUCCUCAUCUCACCUGGCUGGGGGGAAAAGAGACCUGCUUGAGCAAACCCCAGCCCCCUCCCACAAAGCACACCCGCAGAACCUGACCAGGAAGAAGGGAGAGCCAGGGGACAAAGCGUUUCAGCCGAUUUUGAACAAUAAAUGCCCUUUUGCCACAUCAGUCAGGAUUCUAUCACCAAAGCUACCGGAAACAAAGAGCAACGUCUGCAGCACAAAAGAAGACGUAAUCUAGGAGCUGAGCCACUUUGAUGGUCUAGAAAUGUGACUCCCAGGAAGCAAACCAUGUGGUCUUUUAUCUAGUCUCCUACUCUCUUUCGCGCCCAAGCACAAGACUGCUGCAUGCUCUGCCGUACCUACAAGUCUUUGAGGACACAGCGCAGAGCAGCAGAGAGGGUGGCACACAGGAGUAAAAUGUCUUUUCUCCCCCCGCUAAAUCCGGCAACCCAACAAUAAACUUAAUUUAAAAAGCUUAACAAAA